UGCAAGUCGAGCGGUAGCACAGAGAGCUUGCUCUCGGGUGACGAGCGGCGGACGGGUGAGUAAUGUCUGGGAAACUGCCUGAUGGAGGGGGAUAACUACUGGAAACGGUAGCUAAUACCGCAUAACGUCGCAAGACCAAAGAGGGGGACCUUCGGGCCUCUUGCCAUCAGAUGUGCCCAGAUGGGAUUAGCUAGUAGGUGGGGUAACGGCUCACCUAGGCGACGAUCCCUAGCUGGUCUGAGAGGAUGACCAGCCACACUGGAACUGAGACACGGUCCAGACUCCUACGGGAGGCAGCAGUGGGGAAUAUUGCACAAUGGGCGCAAGCCUGAUGCAGCCAUGCCGCGUGUGUGAAGAAGGCCUUCGGGUUGUAAAGUACUUUCAGCGGGGAGGAAGGUGUUGUGGUUAAUAACCUCGGCGAUUGACGUUACCCGCAGAAGAAGCACCGGCUAACUCCGUGCCAGCAGCCGCGGUAAUACGGAGGGUGCAAGCGUUAAUCGGAAUUACUGGGCGUAAAGCGCACGCAGGCGGUCUGUCAAGUCGGAUGUGAAAUCCCCGGGCUCAACCUGGGAACUGCAUUCGAAACUGGCAGGCUAGAGUCUUGUAGAGGGGGGUAGAAUUCCAGGUGUAGCGGUGAAAUGCGUAGAGAUCUGGAGGAAUACCGGUGGCGAAGGCGGCCUCCCUGGACAAAGACUGACGCUCAGGUGCGAAAGCGUGGGGGAGCAAACAGGAUUAGAUACCCUGG
Molecule: ribosomal RNA, 745 nt
Filed under: Enterobacter cloacae
Lineage: Bacteria; Pseudomonadati; Pseudomonadota; Gammaproteobacteria; Enterobacterales; Enterobacteriaceae
Description: bacterial SSU rRNA
Rfam family: Bacterial small subunit ribosomal RNA
Source: RNAcentral